CGGGGCGUAGCGCAGCCUGGUAGCGCACUUGCAUGGGGUGCAAGGGGUCGUGAGUUCGAAUCCCACCGCCCCGA
Molecule: transfer RNA, 74 nt
Filed under: Parazoarcus communis
Lineage: Bacteria; Pseudomonadati; Pseudomonadota; Betaproteobacteria; Rhodocyclales; Zoogloeaceae
Also listed under: 1 other name
Description: Azoarcus communis tRNA
Rfam family: tRNA
About the family: Transfer RNA (tRNA) molecules are approximately 80 nucleotides in length. Their secondary structure includes four short double-helical elements and three loops (D, anti-codon, and T loops).
Source: Rfam by way of RNAcentral